This is a long non-coding RNA of Cygnus olor (mute swan), 1286 nucleotides long. RefSeq lists it as uncharacterized. Lineage: Eukaryota; Metazoa; Chordata; Aves; Anseriformes; Anatidae. The transcript is spliced from 4 exons. The record is from RefSeq and is a predicted model, not a curated record.
UGAUGUUCUGAUAGCCAGCAAAUUAUUAUUCUAAGAUGAUAAGGUAUUAUGUGCCAUCGUUGGCAUCUGCCUAAUGGUGUUUUCAAUGAUGUUCUCAAAAGUGAAGGUGAACAGAGGUGAAGGAUAAACUGCCUGUUUCAUAGUAGUGCAGGUACUUGGUGCAGGGUUUCCUCCGUCUUCCAUCACCACUCCUUAAGCAAGAAGUAGCAAGUUAUCCUGGCUGAUGCAGUGAAAUAGCUGAAGGGCAGGAACAUGACUCCAUCCAAUCCUCGGUCAUCGGCUCUUUGCUUGGAGGUGACAGGGAGUAGAAGAGAUUCUGAAAACCCGUCAAUUAUAAGCAUGCAUUUUGGGACAACUGUGAGAACAAGCCUGUGCUAAGUGUUUGAUCAGAAAAAACGUGGGAGACUGUGUUGAAGUUAAGACUGCACAUGCAAGCAUUUCCAGUGUGGAUCUACUGACCAUCAGGAUCUGGAGCAGGGAACACCAUGGACAGCUGUGCUUAGGCUGACCAGGAUGAAGCAGAGCAGGCCUCUUUCACCUUUCUGUAGCAGGAUGAGCUGGUGCAGUGGCACUGGAACGAGGACAGAGUCUUGUGCCAGGGCAGCUGGGUGGCCAUCACCCUGUCCUUCCAUGGAGAGCAGACCUGGGAACAGCAUGGCAGGUCUUCAGUGUGGUUGCAUUUCCAGGAGCAGGGAAAAACUGGUUGCUCCUUGGGUCAGAUCUUUCGGAGUCAGAGGUCCUUCAGAAGUGCUGUCCUGUACCUUUUAGCUUUGUGUAUGACUUCUGUAAAAUAAUGUAAAUGUAUCUGUGGCACCUCUCUCAUGUACAUCUAAAGCACUGAGUUUGCUGAUUUAUGUAUUUAAUUGUAGCUUGACAAUGUCUGUAGGGCUGAGCCUGUGAUUGACAAAGCUAUGAAUUUUAGUUUCCUUACACUGCCUGAAUCACAUCUGUACUAUCAUGACCUGACAAUUAUUUAAUCAGCAUAUGGUAUCACUGUCUAUCUGUUUAUAUGGCUGUAAUUAUCAUAUAUGACAUGCAUAUAAGCUUGUAAAAUACAGUAUGAAUUUUAGAUUAUGUGAAAAAAUGUUAACAAGAAAAGUAUUUUAAUCAAAAGCUAUAUUUAGGUAUGGGAAGUAGUUGUAUAUAUUAUUAACCUACUGUUUUAAGUGAAUUAGUGAAAUAAGAUGUAUCUAUACUACUGUAAAAAUAAUGUCUGAUGUAUUGAAUAUUUAUUACAGGUGAAUGAUACUUCUGAAUGAUCUCAUCACUUAUAAAUAUCAAUAAAA